Molecule: ribosomal RNA, 292 nt
Filed under: uncultured bacterium
Lineage: Bacteria
Description: partial 16S ribosomal RNA
Source: RNAcentral
GGACUACUAGGGUUUCUAAUCCCGUUUGCUCCCCUAGCUUUCGCGCUUUAGCGUCAGUAUCGGGCCAGAUGUGCGCCUUCGCCACCGGUGUUCCUCCUGAUAUCUACGCAUUUCACCGCUACACCAGGAAUUCCCACAUCCUCUCCCGUACUCAAGCCAAGCAGUAUGAGAUGCCGGUCCUCGGGUGAGCCGAGGCAUUUCACAUCUCACUUACCUGACCGCCUAGACGCCCUUUACGCCCAGUGAUUCCGAACAACGCUUGCUCCCCCCGUGUUACCGCGGCGGCUGGCAC